RNAcentral lists this ribosomal RNA (114 nucleotides) under Fusarium solani. RNAcentral describes it as "5.8S ribosomal RNA". It matches the Rfam family "5.8S ribosomal RNA", at positions 1 to 112 of the family's 154-position model. From Rfam's summary of the family: 5.8S ribosomal RNA (5.8S rRNA) is a component of the large subunit of the eukaryotic ribosome. RNAcentral also lists the same sequence under 1 other name. The record is from RNAcentral. Lineage: Eukaryota; Fungi; Ascomycota; Sordariomycetes; Hypocreales; Nectriaceae.
AAAACUUUCAACAACGGAUCUCUUGGCUCUGGCAUCGAUGAAGAACGCAGCGAAAUGCGAUAAGUAAUGUGAAUUGCAGAAUUCAGUGAAUCAUCGAAUCUUUGAACGCACAUU